Molecule: ribosomal RNA, 513 nt
Filed under: uncultured bacterium
Lineage: Bacteria
Description: partial 16S ribosomal RNA
Rfam family: Bacterial small subunit ribosomal RNA
Source: RNAcentral
GAUGAACGCUGGCGGCGUGCCUAAUACAUGCAAGUCGAACGCGCAGCGAAAGGUGCUUGCACCUUUCAAGCGAGUGGCGAACGGGUGAGUAACACGUGGAUAACCUGCCUCAAGGCUGGGGAUAACAUUUGGAAACAGAUGCUAAUACCGAAUAAAACUUAGUAUCGCAUGAUACAAAGUUAAAAGGCGCUACGGCGUCACCUAGAGAUGGAUCCGCGGUGCAUUAGUUAGUUGGUGGGGUAAAGGCUUACCAAGACGAUGAUGCAUAGCCGAGUUGAGAGACUGAUCGGCCACAUUGGAACUGAGACACGGCCCAAACUCCUACGGGAGGCUGCAGUAGGGAAUCUUCCACAAUGGGCGCAAGCCUGAUGGAGCAACGCCGCGUGUGUGAUGGAGGCUUUCGGGUCGUAAAGCACUGUUGUAUGGGAAGAAAUGCUAAAAUAGGGAAUGAUUUUAGUUUGACGGUACCAUACCAGAAAGGGACGGCUAAAUACGUGCCAGCAGCCGCAGUAA